AACUCAGGACACAAGAUCGCGGCGGCAGC
This 29-nucleotide small RNA is filed under the name Bombyx mori (domestic silkworm). RNAcentral's name for it is "ovarian small RNA-4250". Lineage: Eukaryota; Metazoa; Arthropoda; Insecta; Lepidoptera; Bombycidae. The record is from RNAcentral.